AUUGAACGCUGGCGGCAGGCCUAACACAUGCAAGUCGAACGGUAACAGGAAGCAGCUUGCUGCUUCGCUGACGAGUGGCGGACGUGUGAGUUAUGUCUGUGAAACUGCCUGAUGGAGGGGGAUAACUACUGGAAACGGUAGCUAAUACCGCAUAACGUCGCAAGACCAAAGAUCUGGACCUUAGGGCCUCUUGCCAUCGGCUGUGCCCAGAUGGGAUUAGCUAGUAGGUGGGGUAACGGCUCACCUAGGCGACGAUCCCUAGCUGGUCUGAGAGGAUGACCAGCCACACUGGAACUGAGACACGGUCCAGACUCCUACGGGAGGCAGCAGUGGGGAAUAUUGCACAAUGGGCGCAAGCCUGAUGCAGCCAUGCCGCGUGUAUGAAGAAGGCCUUCGGAUUGUAAAGUACUUUAAGCGGGGAGGAAGGGAGUAAAGUUAAUACCUUUGCUCAUUGACGUUACCCGCAGAAGAAGCACCGGCUAACUCCGUG
Molecule: ribosomal RNA, 490 nt
Filed under: uncultured bacterium
Lineage: Bacteria
Description: partial 16S ribosomal RNA
Rfam family: Bacterial small subunit ribosomal RNA
Source: RNAcentral